AGACUGGUUAAUGAUAACAGUGCAUCGUGAAACCUUCAGCAGGAAAGAAACAUGUUCUGUGGGCCACUUCGUUUUUGUGUGUGUGGCAUUUUUAAGUUAUUUGUUUUAAAAAUCAGU
Molecule: microRNA precursor, 117 nt
Filed under: Tupaia belangeri (northern tree shrew)
Lineage: Eukaryota; Metazoa; Chordata; Mammalia; Scandentia; Tupaiidae
Description: miRNA (ENSTBEG00000018036.1)
Source: RNAcentral